GAUGAACGCUAGCUACAGGCUUAACACAUGCAAGUCGAGGGGCAGCAUCAUCAAAGCUUGCUUUGAUGGAUGGCGACCGGCGCACGGGUGAGUAACACGUAUCCAACCUGCCGACAACACUGGGAUAGCCUUUCGAAAGAAAGAUUAAUACCGGAUGGCAUAGUUUUCCCGCAUGGGAUAAUUAUUAAAGAAUUUCGGUUGUCGAUGGGGAUGCGUUCCAUUAGGCAGUUGGCGGGGUAACGGCCCACCAAACCUACGAUGGAUAGGGGGUUCUGAGAGGAAGGUCCCCCCACAUUGGAACUGAGACACGGUCCAAACUCCUACGGGAGGCAGCAGUGAGGAAUAUUGGUCAAUGGACGAGAGUCUGAACCAGCCAAGUAGCGUGAAGGAUGACUGCCCUAUGGGUUGUAAACUUCUUUUAUACGGGAAUAAGUGAGCCACGUGUGGCUUUUUGUAUGUACCGUAUGAAUAAGGAUCGGCUAACUCCGUG
Molecule: ribosomal RNA, 490 nt
Filed under: uncultured bacterium
Lineage: Bacteria
Description: bacterial SSU rRNA
Rfam family: Bacterial small subunit ribosomal RNA
Source: RNAcentral